Long non-coding RNA from Cyprinus carpio carpio, 5044 nucleotides. The record is from Ensembl. Lineage: Eukaryota; Metazoa; Chordata; Actinopteri; Cypriniformes; Cyprinidae.
CAGAAUCUGCCGCUCGCUGGCACUCAGUCAUACCGAGAGAGCGAGAGCGGGUCUCACAGACGGCCCAGGUACAGGUACAGAGACGCCCAGGACAGGUGUCCGGACUGGAGGCGCAUGAGCGGAUAACAAAGUCAGCACAGGUUUGAAGGUAGACAGUGUGUGCGCGUGCAUGUUUGUGUGUGUCAGGCACGUGGCGGCCGCUCUCAUUUCCGGGAGUGUCCACACCGUCUGGUCCCUGAAGAUGAACGAUGCUUCUUGUUUGUGGGGGGAGGAGGAGUCUUCAAGGUUAAGCUCUUGGGACCUGGGCAGAGGGCAAAAGCACUCAAUCCCCUGGCCGUGUCCUGACUGAGACGGACGUGGGACGGAUGUCUGUGAGAGAUAUGAAAGAAAAACGGUGGACGAGAGAGAGGAUGCGGUGGUGGUGUGUCUGCGAGAUCGAAUGUUCAAUAUGUUCACAUGCCUAUAGUGAUGAUGAUGAUGGUUUCUUCUGGUUUUUAAAUAAAACUUGAUCCUGUAUGUCUGCUGAGGUGUUUUUCUUUGGGGUGAGGGGUGCAGGAGAGGGUCGUCAUGCUAAUCGCUCUGUCUGGCUGUCUGGUCGCCACUGCAGCUCAUCUAUAAAUGACCUUUAUCGCAUCAGCAGCAGAAGUGCCGGGAUUAUCAGUUAUUCCCACACCAGUCUCUUUUGGUAUGCGAUUAACAAUCAUUUAAUUCUUGAUUUGAAAAAAAUAAAAUCUUGAAUUCGGGAAUCAUUUUUGAUAUUUUGCAAAGAUUUUGUCUUAAAUGAAGGUAAAACAUGCAGCUGUUUUUUCUAGUGCCGCCCUUCAUAGAAGAUCCAAGCACCUGCACUACUAUGAAACAAGUCUGCUUGGAUCUAUCCUCAUGUAUCCACUAAUUUUUUGUCUAAUCUAGUAACGUAAAAUCUGUCUGAUGCAUAGCCAAAAAAGUCGAGCGACAUAUUGAACCAACAUAUGCUGACACCUUCAUUUACACAAAAACGAUUUCUAUGAAUAGACUUCAUUACCUCUUGAAGACCAGUCUUUGCUGUUAGAAGAACAUGCGGCUUGCAGAUGAUUGUGUUUAAAGGCGUCCAUGUUUAUACGUAUCGUCAUGUUGUUUUUGAGCAGAAAUGACAUUGAACUCCAGACGGAUGGUAGUUUUAGGGGGUCUGGUUGGCACGGAGCUGUGGGCUCCUUCCUGUUUUAAGGAUGUGAACUCAUUAAGUCUAACGCCUGGCUUUGUUCUUUAUCUCCCUGGAGUGUUUAACUUUUGAAAACCUAAUUUUGCUAAAUUACCCACAUUAGAAAUAUAGUUUCAAAACAUUUGUUUUCCCCCUAUUGCUCUCUCUGUCACUUUCUGUGUCUCUCUCUCUCUCUUUUCCUCUCUCUAAUUAUAUUUUUCCCCUGCUUGGUUUCACUCUGAACAAUGGCGGAUGCCAACUAAUCAGGCUGGGUCUGUGCCACGAAGCUCCCAGCAACAGCUGAAGCUCUGCCAUGCUCUGUGCAUACCAAGCAGUCAGCCACAACCAGCAAGCGCCAGCCUGGUGCCCAACGCUGGGUCAGACAGUUUUAUUAGGAUCCGUCUGACACUCGGCACAGGCUGGCAGUGCCAACGCACAGAUAAAAUCUUGUGUGCUGCUCACACUAUUCAUCUGAGCUAGCACAUAAAUACUCCCUCAUCCCACACGCUCUCACACACACGGACCGUUUCAUCAGCUAGAUGAGAAAAGGAACAAAGACUUGGAUCCAGCCAGGAACAAAGAUUUUGUUAUUUAAUAAACGGACGACUUCUGAAUGGUCCAGCAAGCAUCAGGGUCUGAUGUCUCAGCCUCAUUGGCAUGGUUUCAUAUUUACAUUUUUGGCUGACAGCACAUUGGACUGAGUUUCAUUUGUGUGCAUCAGAGCAAAAAAUGGUUCGUUUUCUGGCUGAUAAGUCUGACCAGCAUUUUCAAACAGACACAGGCAUCCGGAAAGAUAGCCAGGCAUGCAAACAAUGAAUGAAUGAAUUUGAAAUAGUUUAAUAUUUUAUUAAUAUUUAUAAAUAUUUAUUUAUAGUUUAAUAAAUUGUCUGGCUGUCAGAUUAGCUUAAAAAUAAAACGGAUGGAUGAGAAAAGUUUAUUAAAGACUGAUAAAAUAACUUUAUGAAUAAUGAAAUAUAUAAUAGCUAUAAUUCUCAUAAAUUGUGCAUAAACCUUCUUAAUUGACUUAAUAAGAAAAGUACAUUUAUUUUUGAAGUAAAAUUAUUUUGUUUUAUCUGAAUGGACAACAAGAAUGUUUGGAGUUUAAUUUAAAUAAAAAAUGCUUGUACUUAUAACAUGAAAUGUGUAUUAUAUCAAAGUACACAGACAGCAGUAAAUCAAACAUUUUGAAAUAUAAAACAUACCUAACCUGAUAUCGCAUCGUUUAGUUCACCCAAGAAUCACGGAGUCGUCCUUGUUAUAGACCGCAUGAAAGAUUCCCUUGAUAAAUGUCAGGAGAUAAAGACCGGUCACUGAGGAAUUAAAAGAGCCCGCUGAUGGUGUGUGAGUGUGUGUGUUCUCGCUAACCGCAUGCGGUUUAAAUAAACUGAACAUUUGUCUGGGAUAAAGCUACUGAAAGUAGAUUAAGCAAUAAGAGCUCAGGCAGGAGAAGCUGCAGGAGCCAGGUGAAUUUACAGGAUUACAGGAAUCUUUCUUCCAUUGGUUGUCAGGGAUUGUUGUGGUGCAUGCUAUCAGUGCAGGUCAGAGGAAACAGUGGGUCCUUCUCACUGCUCACUGCAGGUACAAAUAACAGGUGCAAACUCACAGAGCCUUACAAUGUCUGCGUACAUCCAGAUGCUGCCACUGACACAGAAUGCACUUGUUCAUUGUGCAGAAUAUAUUGAUGAGCAUAAUGAUGACAAACAUUCAUUUUCCUAUAUACUCAAAUUCUACUUUAGUGCUCAAAAGUACUGAACAGGCAUUGAUCAUCUUUGCUGUACGUGAAAUUUUGAUUUCUAAUUUCACUUUACAAAUACAGAAUUUGAAGAUUCUAUUGUAAAUGCUAUUCCAGUUAUCAUAUCGGUUAUUGGCCAUAACAACAAAUAUUUUGGUAAAACAGAUCAAGUCUCAAAUCUGUUUCAUAUUACUUGCAUUACGCAUAUUACUCCCUGCUAAAUUUGUUCAUUCAGAAUAUUACUGCAUGUUAAUCAAAGCUUGUUUUAUCAUUAUUUGUUGUCACCCUUUUAUUAAAGCAAUAAGCCACUGGAGGCCACGUAUUAGUCAUUUUAUUAUAGUCAUGUCAUAUUGAGCCUAUUAAGAAAUCAUUUUACCCACUGUUAACACUAGUGAGAAAUAAAUAAAUAUACUAAAAUGUAUUUGAAAUACAUUUAUUUCAUGCUAAGUAUAUUACAAAUAUAUUUACCUAUUUAUGUACUUAAUAAAAUUACCCUUAAGUUGUACUUUUAAUAUACUAAAUUGGUAUAUUUAAAAGAGCCAUUGCGGUUUCCGCAAAGAUCCUUUCUCUGGGAAAGGACUUUUUCUCAGUUUGAAGAACAUUUUAAUAAUCAACCUUUUCACUUUUCAACCCUUUUGUCCAAUGAAAAGGUUCCGAGGAUGUUACAGGUUCUUCAUGAAACCAUCAAUACCAAUAAAGAAUCUUUAUUUGUGAGAGUGUAGAAUCACCUUAUUUGUGUAUGAUUGUGUUGUUUUGAUGGUUAGUUCAAAACUCAGUGGGAUCAGAAUCUCAAAAUGUGCUUUGAUGUGUCAGAUUGGUAUACUUCAUCAUUGUCACUAAUCGUAUGAAAACUGAUUCUAAACUUGAAACUUGCAUCAAACUUCAAAAGACAUAUUAAAGAAGUACAGAUGAUUGUGUGUGUUUUUGCCAGGUGUCCCUUUAGUUGAUAACAAUCAUAUUUCAAAAAAGUGCAUGUCUACUUUGUGGUCCAAGGGUUAAAGCUUCGAUAAUAUCUGUCUGCUGGGGGUUUGAUUAGGUCAGACAGAGAUAUUACAAGAAUUUGAAUAGAAAACCAGAAGUAAUUUUGAAAAUGUCAUUAUUUUAUACAUACAGUACGUCUCUGGGACCCCAAACGUAAAGAAAGCAGAUCAAUCUCAGCCGAGUGUAAUGGCCUGUAAUUGGCCUGCAUCAGUCUAGAGGACGGCCCGUCACUCGUAAAGUCUUUCCUCCCCGAUUCAUCCUGCCCUGUGUGCCCUGUGACUGCUUGCCCUUCUCUGUGAUGUCUGCAGUACUGCUGUGGAGGCGUUGCCAAGGAAACGCAGUAUCUGGCUGGCAGUGUGCUGGAGUUAUUGAACCACAACUAGCUUUUAGCUUUAGAGGAUAAUUAGCUUCUGUCUCACAGGUUUCUCUCAGCCGAUGGGACUCCAGUGGACCCCGCGGCUGCUCUGAGCGUCUUCCUCCAGUCAGAGCUUUUUGGCGGUUAGCGGUGGCCGCAGGUGCUCCUGUUACCUGCACGAAAAGCUGCAUGAGCACCCCAGCAAUCCUCAAACACUCUCUCUCUCUCUCUCUCUCUCUCUCUCUCUCUUACACACACACACACACACAACCCAGACAUAUUUUUGUUCUUCAGCAUACAGUGAGCUCUGGCAGAGAUAUGAAAUAUAUAAACCUGUCUGUAUCCUAAAAUGCACUCUCUCUCACACAUAAAAACACAAACAAACAAACAAAAACAAUCCGUUGUGAAUGAGUGUCCAAAAUAAUACAGAUUCAAUUAAUAUAAUUUCAUAUAAUGCUGUAAUAUAAUUUACAGAUAUACUUAAUGGUUUUAAUUGCAUUAAUUUUCUUCUUUUUAGGUACAGAUGUUAUUUUCAGCUUGAAGGGAACUUGCAGAUUAACUUGAUAUUAUUAUACGCAUUCUUACUGUUUACUAGGAUAUGCCAUAAAAUAAUACCACAUUAUUCAAAACAUAUAUAUUUAUAUUUGCCUUAUUUUACCUUUUAAAAAAAUCAAAACAAGAUAAAUGUACUUAUAAGCAGACAUUUCAGCAAAGUUAUCUUUAAGUUGUUGUCAAUUUUCAAUAUAAUUAAAUGUUUUAUUAUAUAUAUAUAUAUAUAUAUAUAUAUAUAUAUAUAUAU